GUGCCUAAUACAUGCAAGUCGAACGCUUCUUUCCUCCCGAGUGCUUGCACUCAAUUGGAAAGAGGAGUGGCGGACGGGUGAGUAACACGUGGGUAACCUACCCAUCAGAGGGGGAUAACACUUGGAAACAGGUGCUAAUACCGCAUAACAGUUUAUGCCGCAUGGCAUAAGAGUGAAAGGCGCUUUCGGGUGUCGCUGAUGGAUGGACCCGCGGUGCAUUAGCUAGUUGGUGAGGUAACGGCUCACCAAGGCCACGAUGCAUAGCCGACCUGAGAGGGUGAUCGGCCACACUGGGACUGAGACACGGCCCAGACUCCUACGGGAGGCAGCAGUAGGGAAUCUUCGGCAAUGGACGAAAGUCUGACCGAGCAACGCCGCGUGAGUGAAGAAGGUUUUCGGAUCGUAAAACUCUGUUGUUAGAGAAGAACAAGGACGUUAGUAACUGAACGUCCCCUGACGGUAUCUAACCAGAAAGCCACGGCUAACUACGUGCCAGCAGCCGCGGUAAUACGUAGGUGGCAAGCGUUGUCCGGAUUUAUUGGGCGUAAAGCGAGCGCAGGCGGUUUCUUAAGUCUGAUGUGAAAGCCCCCGGCUCAACCGGGGAGGGUC
RNAcentral lists this ribosomal RNA (609 nucleotides) under uncultured bacterium. RNAcentral describes it as "bacterial SSU rRNA". It matches the Rfam family "Bacterial small subunit ribosomal RNA", at positions 44 to 624 of the family's 1533-position model. The record is from RNAcentral.